AAGUCUUGACAUCCUUCUGACCGGUACUUAACCGUACCUUCUCUUCGGAGCAGGAGUGACAGGUGGUGCAUGGUU
This 75-nucleotide ribosomal RNA is filed under the name uncultured Eubacterium sp. RNAcentral's name for it is "partial 16S ribosomal RNA". The record is from RNAcentral. Lineage: Bacteria; Bacillati; Bacillota; Clostridia; Eubacteriales; Eubacteriaceae.